RNAcentral lists this ribosomal RNA (497 nucleotides) under uncultured bacterium. RNAcentral's name for it is "partial 16S ribosomal RNA". It matches the Rfam family "Bacterial small subunit ribosomal RNA", at positions 28 to 507 of the family's 1533-position model. The record is from RNAcentral.
GAUGAACGCUGGCGGCGUGCCUAAUACAUGCAAGUCGAGCGAACAGACGAGGAGCUUGCUCCUCUGACGUUAGCGGCGGACGGGUGAGUAACACGUGGAUAACCUACCUAUAAGACUGGGAUAACUUCGGGACACCGGAGCUAAUACCGGAUAAUAUAUUGAACCGCAUGGUUCAAUAGUGAAAGACGGUUUUGCUGUCACUUCUAGAUGGAUCCGCGCCGCAUUAGCUAGUUGGUAAGGUAACGGCUUACCAAGGCAACGAUGCGUAGCCGACCUGAGAGGGGGGUCGGCGACACUGGAACGGAGACACGGUCCAGACGCCUACGGGAGGCAGCAGUAGGGAAUCUGCGGCAAUGGGCGAAAGCUUGACGGAGCAACGCCGCGUGAGUGAUGAAGGUCUUCGGAUCGUAAAACUCUGUUAUGAGGGAAGAACAAAUGUGUAAGUAACUAUGCACGUCUUGACGGUACCUAAUCAGAAAGCCACGGCUAACUACGUG